Megalobrama amblycephala (Wuchang bream) is the source of this 3702-nucleotide long non-coding RNA. RefSeq lists it as uncharacterized. Lineage: Eukaryota; Metazoa; Chordata; Actinopteri; Cypriniformes; Xenocyprididae. The transcript is spliced from 7 exons. The record is from RefSeq and is a predicted model, not a curated record.
GAGUAGGUCUGUGAGACGGUUAGGUUUAGGGUCAGUUUUAGGUAUAUAGGUAAAAGCGAGUUUCACCCUCAUUAAUUCGACCCUCAUUAGCAUAUGCGAUCUGAUUGGCCGAAGCUUACCUGGCCGUAUCUUUUGAAGCGGAGGUCCGACGUGCACAUAAGUGGUAUCGUUGGAUUCAGAAAUCUGUCUUCUUUCAGGUAGCGUGGAUGUCUGGAAGACAGGUAUAUAGAUAAAAGCGAGUUUCACCCUCAUUGGUUCCACCUUCAUUAGCAUAUGCGAUCUGAUUGGCCAAAGCUUACCUGGCCGUAUCUUUUGAAGCGGAGGUCCGACGUGCACAUAACUGGUAUCGUUGGAUUCAGAAAGCUGUCUUCUUUCAGGUAGCGUGGAUGUCUGGAAGACAGGAUGUUGCUAGGGUAAAUUUUAGGUCGGGUUAUCCUGAGUAGGUCUGUGAGACGGUUAGGUUUAGGGUCAGUUUUAGGUCGGGUUAUCCUGAGUAGGCCUGUGAGACGGUUAGGUUUAGGGUCAGUUUUAGGUCGGGUUAUCCUGAGUAGGUCUGUGAGACGGUUAGGUUUAGGGUCAGUUUUAGGUCGGGUUAUCCUGAGUAGGUCUGUGAGACGGUUAGGUUUAGGGUCAGUUUUAGGUAUAUAGGUAAAAGCGAGUUUCACCCUCAUUAAUUCGACCCUCAUUAGCAUAUGCGAUCUGAUUGGCCGAAGCUUACCUGGCCGUAUCUUUUGAAGCGGAGGUCCGACGUGCACAUAAGUGGUAUCGUUGGAUUCAGAAAUCUGUCUUCUUUCAGGUAGCGUGGAUGUCUGGAAGACAGGUAUAUAGAUAAAAGCGAGUUUCACCCUCAUUGGUUCCACCUUCAUUAGCAUAUGCGAUCUGAUUGGCCAAAGCUUACCUGGCCGUAUCUUUUGAAGCGGAGGUCCGACGUGCACAUAACUGGUAUCGUUGGAUUCAGAAAGCUGUCUUCUUUCAGGUAGCGUGGAUGUCUGGAAGACAGGAUGUUGCUAGGGUAAAUUUUAGGUCGGGUUAUCCUGAGUAGGUCUGUGAGACGGUUAGGUUUAGGGUCAGUUUUAGGUAUAUAGGUAAAAGCGAGUUUCACCCUCAUUAAUUCGACCCUCAUUAGCAUAUGCGAUCUGAUUGGCCGAAGCUUACCUGGCCGUAUCUUUUGAAGCGGAGGUCCGACGUGCACAUAAGUGGUAUCGUUGGAUUCAGAAAUCUGUCUUCUUUCAGGUAGCGUGGAUGUCUGGAAGACAGGUAUAUAGAUAAAAGCGAGUUUCACCCUCAUUGGUUCCACCUUCAUUAGCAUAUGCGAUCUGAUUGGCCAAAGCUUACCUGGCCGUAUCUUUUGAAGCGGAGGUCCGACGUGCACAUAACUGGUAUCGUUGGAUUCAGAAAGCUGUCUUCUUUCAGGUAGCGUGGAUGUCUGGAAGACAGGAUGUUGCUAGGGUAAAUUUUAGGUCGGGUUAUCCUGAGUAGGUCUGUGAGACGGUUAGGUUUAGGGUCAGUUUUAGGUCGGGUUAUCCUGAGUAGGCCUGUGAGACGGUUAGGUUUAGGGUCAGUUUUAGGUCGGGUUAUCCUGAGUAGGCCUGUGAGACGGUUAGGUUUAGGGUCAGUUUUAGGUCGGGUUAUCCUGAGUAGGCCUGUGAGACGGGUUGUUUGAUUGACCGCCGCAAUCUGUUUGUUUGUUUGGUUGUCUAAAAUGAGCUUAAAACGUUCUGUUCUUAGUCACUGCCCAGAUUGGCUUUGUUCUGUUGAGUAGUUAAAUAUUGUAUUAAAUUGGAUGCUAAUAAAGUACUAUAAAUCGAAUCCAUCUUGAAAAUUCCACUCUAAGUGGCCAAAAGGUCAAAGGUCAAGACUGGCGGAUAUGGCCUGGUUGGCAUCUUGCAAUAAUAAAACGUACGAAUAACUACUGUAAAUCAAAUGAAGUCUAAAAAUCGAAAGAUAGGCCUAAGACGUUCCCAAAAGGUCGAAGGUCGUGACUGGCGGAUGCAAAGAAUAAAAGGUAGCAAAAAGGUAAUACAAGUCUUUAUAAAAACAGUUUUCCAGCCAGUUUGUGUGUGUGUGUUUGUGAAAGAGAGAGAGAGAGAUAGAGAGAGUGUGUGUGUGUGUGUGUGUGUGAAAGAGAGAGAGAGAGAGAGAGAGAGAGAGAGAGAGUGUGUGUGUUAUUUUCUGCUAAAAUAUUGGAAUUCUUAGCAGUUUCUUACACAUGGCUAUUCACAGUUUUAUCCAGGAGAGGGCGACGAGAAGCCAAGGGUAAUAUCCUGGAAUAGAUAGAUAGAUAGAUGAUAGAUAGUUAGUUAGAGAAUAAAGAAAAAAAAUAGAUAGAAAAUAGAUAGAAAAAAUACAUCCAAAUGAAAUAACCUGUGAAAUCAAUUGUCUUUUUAGCAAAAAGGAAAUGCAAGUCUUUAUAAAAACAGUUUUCCAGCCAGUUUGUGUGUGUGAGUGUGUGUGUGUUUGUGAAAGAGAGAGAGAGUGUAUCAUUACAAUUCAGAAUUGAACAAUUUAAGAUAAAACAGCAGAUAGGCUUGAGCAAUUUAGACUAUUGAACAUGUAAAGGAAGAACAUAUUGUUCCUCUCAAAGGUUGUGUAAAGUGUUGGGUGCUGGUAUGGAUGGAUGGAUGGAUGGAUGGAUGGAUGGAUGGAUAGAGAUUAGUUUUACGAUAUUUCUGUGCAGAGUUUGAUGAAGUUUUGUGUUAAUGAAGGUUUAUGGAGCAUAGGGACUAGCAUGUUUAAAGUUGGUGGGGUGAGGAGUUAAUUGGGUUAAGGGUUAGUGAGGCUAGGGCUAGCAGCUCUGAGGUUUGGGUUAGGGGCUAGUCUGGGGGUUAACUGCGAGUAGGUUAAGGGUUAGUGAGGCUAGGGUUAGCAGCUCUGAGGUUUGGGUUAGGGGCUAGUCUGGGGUUAACUGCGAGUAGGUAUAUAGGUAAAAGCGAGUUUCACCCUCAUUAAUUCGACCCUCAUUAGCAUAUGCGAUCUGAUUGGCCGAAGCUUACCUGGCCGUAUCUUUUGAAGCGGAGGUCCGACGUGCACAUAAGUGGUAUCGUUGGAUUCAGAAAUCUGUCUUCUUUCAGGUAGCGUGGAUGUCUGGAAGACAGGUAUAUAGAUAAAAGCGAGUUUCACCCUCAUUGGUUCCACCUUCAUUAGCAUAUGCGAUCUGAUUGGCCAAAGCUUACCUGGCCGUAUCUUUUGAAGCGGAGGUCCGACGUGCACAUAACUGGUAUCGUUGGAUUCAGAAAGCUGUCUUCUUUCAGGUAGCGUGGAUGUCUGGAAGACAGGAUGUUGCUAGGGUAAAUUUUAGGUCGGGUUAUCCUGAGUAGGUCUGUGAGACGGUUAGGUUUAGGGUCAGUUUUAGGUCGGGUUAUCCUGAGUAGGCCUGUGAGACGGUUAGGUUUAGGGUCAGUUUUAGGUCGGGUUAUCCUGAGUAGGUCUGUGAGACGGUUAGGUUUAGGGUCAGUUUUAGGUCGGGUUAUCCUGAGUAGGCCUGUGAGACGGGUUGUUUGAUUGACCGCCGCAAUCUGUUUGUUUGUUUGGUUGUCUAAAAUGAGCUUAAAACGUUCUGUUCUUAGUCACUGCCCAGAUUGGCUUUGUUCUGUUGAGUAGUUAAAUAUUGUAUUAAAUUGGAUGCUAAUAAAGUACUAUAAAUCGAAUCCAUCUUGAAAAUUCCACUCUAAGUGGCCAAAAGGUCAAAGGUCAAGACUGGCG